UAACACCUGCGCCACUAGUGGGAAUCAUUAUUAUUGGGCCUAAAGCGUCCGUAGCCGGUUUAGUAAAUCUUUUGUGAAAUUGUUGAGCUUAACUUAACGACGUGCAGAAGAGACUGCUAGACUAGAAACUGGGAGGAGUCAGAAGUAUUUUUGGGGGAGCGGUAAAAUGCUAUAAUCCCAAAAAGACUACCUGUGGCGAAGGCGUCUGACUAGAACAGCUUUGACGGUGAGGGACGAAAGCCAGGGGAGCGAACCGGAUUAGAUACCCGAGUAGUCCUGGCUGUAAACUCUGCGAGCUAGGUGUUGCAUAUUCUUCGUGAAUGUGCAGUGUCGAAGAGAAGUCGUUUAGCUCGCCGCCUGGGAAUUAUGGUCGCAAGACUG
RNAcentral lists this ribosomal RNA (381 nucleotides) under uncultured archaeon. RNAcentral describes it as "bacterial SSU rRNA". It matches the Rfam family "Archaeal small subunit ribosomal RNA", at positions 471 to 851 of the family's 1478-position model. The record is from RNAcentral.